UGGGGAAUAUUGCACAAUGGGCGCAAGCCUGAUGCAGCCAUGCCGCGUGUAUGAAGAAGGCCUUCGGGUUGUAAAGUACUUUCAGUCGGGAGGAAGGUGGUAAGGUUAAUAACCUUAUCAAUUGACGUUACCGACAGAAGAAGCACCGGCUAACUCCGUGCCAGCAGCCGCGGUAAUACGGAGGGUGCAAGCGUUAAUCGGAAUUAAUGGGCGUAAAGCGCACGCAGGCGGUCUGUCAAGUCGGAUGUGAAAUCCCCGGGCUCAACCUGGGAACUGCAUUCGAAACUGGCAGGCUAGAGUCUUGUAGAGGGGGGUAGAAUUCCAGGUGUAGCGGUGAAAUGCGUAGAGAUCUGGAGGAAUACCGGUGGCGAAGGCGGCCCCCUGGACAAAGACUGAAGCUCAGGUGCGAAAGCGUGGGGAGCAAACAGG
Molecule: ribosomal RNA, 429 nt
Filed under: Chloroflexota bacterium
Lineage: Bacteria; Bacillati; Chloroflexota
Description: Chloroflexi bacterium partial 16S ribosomal RNA
Rfam family: Bacterial small subunit ribosomal RNA
Source: RNAcentral